UUGGGGCUCAACAUGGUUCAGGGCUUGCGUAUGACAUAAAAAACACAUGACUAGUGUUUGCAUGCACAGAAAACCCAGACAAUCUACUACAUUUGUCAAAUGUGCAAAAUACAACCUGAGGACACUGUGUGAGGUCACCUUGACCUACCAUUUCUCAUGCAACAAAUUACAUAAUACCUGCUUUAUUUCUAAGAUGAACUAACUAAAACAGCAUGUUGAACCCUAUGCAGGAGGCAAGGAUAAGCAUUUCCAGAACAGCACAGUGUGUUCAUCUGCAAACUUCACAUUUUGGUAGAAUCCAUACUAAAACCUCCAAGUGCUGACUUAAAUUAAAUUAAAUUACACUGAACCUCCCAGAGUCCACCUUGAAACAAAGUCAUGUGUACAAGCUUCUGGACGGAGGCAGCCAGUGGUGAGGAGGAUGAAUUUCACCAGAUCACGGUGCAGAUUGAAGUUACAUGUUCUGUCAUGGAGGAAAACCUUUCUAUGUCUGCCUGAGGCCACACAGAUCAGCCUGAGAUUCAUGUUGAAGUUUAAUUCAUGCUCUGAAUUGAUAAACGUCCUCUCCGCCGCACACAUCUGACAAAAGCCCAUUCCUUCAUGGCAUCAUCCUUCACGAAAUCACAGGGAUCAAGUCGCUGAAGUCCAAAAGCACCAUUGACGUACUCUGCUCGGGGUCAGACAGACUCGUCGUCUCAAUCUCACUCUAUUAACGCUUCAAGAUCGUGAUGACUAUUGACUUACAGGUCUUUAUGAGAGCGCUUUGGCCUUCAGAUCAGUGUCACAGUACUCUGAAAACCAGAGCUCGUUCUCAUGUGCUGACAGGCCUUUCUCAGCCAAUGGCAAUUAACUAAAGUAGGAUCAGCAGCUGUUUGGCCGGUGACACAUAUAUUGGAGCGGCUUUGCUGUGUACAGAGAGUCUGUUGGAGAAGGGAUCUGUGCGGAAAGCUGUAUGUUCUCUGACUGGCUCAUGCAGGAUGUUCUGGGAAAGAGAUGGAUGGCAUUUAAAUCCACCUUUACUGGAAAACAGUCCAAGAUCUGCUUCCCAGAGUCUCCAGGAAGAAUGUUCCUCGAGUGUUUAACAGUGUUUCUCUCAUCUGUCUGCGAGCAGAUGUCCUGCUUCUAGAAUCUAAUGCACCGGUUUUGCCAGAGGUUAAAGAGGUCUGGUAAACGUGUUUCACAAAUGCAGUUCGUUGUUUUUAAUCAGUUAUGUAUGUUUUAUCACACAACUUCAGUAAAAAUCACAGAGCAAAUAACAUAAUCCUAUCUGGAUAAUCUAGUCUGUGAUUAUGUACUGUAAGUGUGUAUUU
Long non-coding RNA from Cyprinus carpio (common carp), 1310 nucleotides. RefSeq lists it as uncharacterized. The transcript is spliced from 5 exons. The record is from RefSeq and is a predicted model, not a curated record. NCBI's taxonomy places the organism in Eukaryota, Metazoa, Chordata, Actinopteri, Cypriniformes, Cyprinidae.